AUACGGGGGGUGCAAGCGUUGUCCGGAAUUACUGGGCGUAAAGAGCUCGUAGGCGGCUCAGCAAGUCGGUCGUGAAAGCCCGAGGCUCAACCUCGGAACUGCGGUCGAUACUGCUGUGGCUCGAGUCCGGUAGAGGAGAGUGGAAUUCCCGGUGUAGCGGUGGAAUGCGCAGAUAUCGGGAGGAACACCAGUGGCGAAGGCGGCUCUCUGGGCCGGUACUGACGCUGAGGAGCGAAAGCGUGGGGAGCAAACAGGAUUAGAAACCCUAGUAGUCC
Molecule: ribosomal RNA, 275 nt
Filed under: uncultured bacterium
Lineage: Bacteria
Description: partial 16S ribosomal RNA
Rfam family: Bacterial small subunit ribosomal RNA
Source: RNAcentral